AUACGGAGGGUGCAAGCGUUGUUCGGAAUCACUGGGCGUAAAGGGCGCGCAGGCGGUUUUACAAGUCAGAUGUGAAAGCCCACGGCUUAACCGUGGAAGUGCAUUUGAAACUGUAAGACUUGAGUAUCAGAGGGGAAGGUGGAAUUCCCGGUGUAGAGGUGAAAUUCGUAGAUAUCGGGAGGAAUACCGGUGGCGAAGGCGACUUUCUGGCUGAAUACUGACGCUGAGGCGCGAAAGCGUGGGGAGCAAACAGGAUUAGAUACCCCAGUAGUCC
This 274-nucleotide ribosomal RNA is filed under the name uncultured bacterium. RNAcentral's name for it is "partial 16S ribosomal RNA". It matches the Rfam family "Bacterial small subunit ribosomal RNA", at positions 523 to 796 of the family's 1533-position model. The record is from RNAcentral.